GACUACGGUCGCAAGACUAAAACUCAAAGGAAUUGACGGGGGCCCGCACAAGCGGUGGAGCAUGUGGUUUAAUUCGAGGCAACGCGAAGAACCUUACCAGCUUUUGACAUCCCGGUCGCGGUUACCAGAGAUGGUUUCCUUCAGUUCGGCUGGACCGGUGACAGGUGCUGCAUGGUUGUCGUCAGCUCGUGUCGUGAGAUGUUGGGUUAAGUCCCGCAACGAGCGCAACCCUCGCCUUUAGUUGCCAGCAUUAAGUUGGGCACUCUAGAGGGACUGCCGGUGAUAAGCCGGAGGAAGGUGGGGAUGACGUCAAAUCAUCAUGGCCCUUACGGGCUGGGCUACACACGUGCUACAAUGGCGGUGACAGUGAGCAGCCACUCAGCAAUGGGGAGCUAAUCUCUAAAAGCCGUCUCAGUUCGGAUUGUUCUCUGCAACUCGAGAGCAUGAAGUUGGAAUCGCUAGUAAUCGUGGAUCAGCAUGCCACGGUGAAUACGUUCCCGGGCCUUGUACACACCGCCCGUCACACCAUGGGAGUUGGUUUUACCCGAAGACUGUGUGCUAACUUAGGAGGCAGCAGGCCACGGUAAGGUCAGCGACUGGGGUGAAGUCGUAACAAGGUA
RNAcentral lists this ribosomal RNA (620 nucleotides) under uncultured bacterium. RNAcentral describes it as "bacterial SSU rRNA". It matches the Rfam family "Bacterial small subunit ribosomal RNA", at positions 878 to 1498 of the family's 1533-position model. The record is from RNAcentral.